UAUAACAAAUUAGUAUGGGGCGGACGUAGCCAAGUGGAUUAAGGC
Molecule: transfer RNA, 45 nt
Filed under: Acrolejeunea fertilis
Lineage: Eukaryota; Viridiplantae; Streptophyta; Jungermanniopsida; Porellales; Lejeuneaceae
Also listed under: 1 other name
Description: partial tRNA-His
Source: RNAcentral